GUGCUCCCCCGCCAAUUCUUUAGUUUCAAUCUUGCGAUCGUACUCCCCAGGCGGCAGACUUAACAGCUUCCCUGCGGCACUAGAACGGCACGUGGCCGUCCAAACACCUAGUCUGCAUCGUUUACAGCUGGGACUACCCGGGUAUCUAAUCCGGUUCGCUCCCCCAGCUUUCAUCCCUCACCGUCGGGCGCGUUCUAGCAGACAGCCUUCGCCACUGGUGGUCUUCCCGGGAUUAUAGGAUUUCACCCCUACCCCGGAAAUACCGUCUGCCUCUCUCGUCCCCUAGCCAAGUAGUAUCCCCCGCAAUCCAACGAUUAAUUCGUUGGAUUUAACAGGGGGCUAACCUAGCCAGCUACGGAUGCUUUAGGCCCAAUAAACAUCCACACCACUCGGAGAGCUGGUAUUACCGCGGCGGCUGACACCAGACUUGCCCUCUCCUUAUUCCCCCAGCGUUCUAGACUGGGUAAAAGCCUUCCUCAGCGGAUGGCACUCGGGAUAGCCCUGUCAAGCUUUCGCUUAUUGCAAAGUUUUCGCGCCUGCUGCACCCCGU
Molecule: ribosomal RNA, 550 nt
Filed under: uncultured archaeon
Lineage: Archaea
Description: partial 16S ribosomal RNA
Source: RNAcentral